AUCGAACGCUGGCGGCAUGCCUUACACAUGCAAGUCGAACGGCAGCACGGGAGCAAUCCUGGUGGCGAGUGGCGAACGGGUGAGUAAUAUAUCGGAACGUGCCCAGUCGUGGGGAUAACGUAGCGAAAGCUACGCUAAUACCGCAUACGAUCUAUGGAUGAAAGCGGGGGAUCGCAAGACCUCGCGCGAUUGGAGCGGCCGAUAUCAGAUUAGGUAGUUGGUGAGGUAAAGGCUCACCAAGCCGACGAUCUGUAGCUGGUCUGAGAGGACGACCAGCCACACUGGGACUGAGACACGGCCCAGACUCCUACGGGAGGCAGCAGUGGGGAAUUUUGGACAAUGGG
This 344-nucleotide ribosomal RNA is filed under the name uncultured bacterium. RNAcentral describes it as "bacterial SSU rRNA". It matches the Rfam family "Bacterial small subunit ribosomal RNA", at positions 30 to 375 of the family's 1533-position model. The record is from RNAcentral.